This 497-nucleotide ribosomal RNA is filed under the name uncultured bacterium. RNAcentral describes it as "partial 16S ribosomal RNA". It matches the Rfam family "Bacterial small subunit ribosomal RNA", at positions 28 to 507 of the family's 1533-position model. The record is from RNAcentral.
GAUGAACGCUGGCGGCGUGCCUAAUACAUGCAAGUCGAGCGAACGGACGAGAAGCUUGCUUCUCUGAUGUUAGCGGCGGACGGGUGAGUAACACGUGGAUAACCUACCUAUAAGACUGGGAUAACUUCGGGAAACCGGAGCUAAUACCGGAUGAUAUUUUGAACCGCAUGGUUCAAAAGUGAAAGACGGUCUUGCUGUCACUUAUAGAUGGAUCCGCGCUGUAUCAGCUAGUUGGUAAGGUAACGGCUUACCAAGGCAACGAUGCAUAGCCGACCUGAGAGGGUGAUCGGCCACACUGGAACUGAGACACGGUCCAGACUCCUACGGGAGGCAGCAGUAGGGAAUCUUCCGCAAUGGGCGAAAGCCUGACGGAGCAACGCCGCGUGAGUGAUGAAGGUCUUCGGAUCGUAAAACUCUGUUAUUAGGGAAGAACAUAUGUGUAAGUAACUGUGCACAUCUUGACGGUACCUAAUCAGAAAGCCACGGCUAACUACGUG